GCACACAUACCAACACAUACGCAAUUAAGACCAUCUAUACCGUCUUAACAUUCCACAUAUCACCAUAACUCACAAUUGGUACAUAUAUACAUUCGUCACAACACAUCAUCUACGAUUACAUAUACACAUCCAUAACCAUAAAUCAUUCACAAUUCAAUAAGGGUAUACAUAAACAUUCAUACAAUAUAUUAUUCACCAAUAUAGACCAAUCAUCAAAUAGGUACACAUAAAUUU
RNAcentral lists this long non-coding RNA (234 nucleotides) under Lathyrus oleraceus (garden pea). Its description in RNAcentral is "Pisum sativum (pea) long non-coding RNA (PSAT_LNC026532)". The record is from RNAcentral. Lineage: Eukaryota; Viridiplantae; Streptophyta; Magnoliopsida; Fabales; Fabaceae.